RNAcentral lists this transfer RNA (74 nucleotides) under Castellaniella sp. RNAcentral describes it as "tRNA-Gly". It matches the Rfam family "tRNA". Rfam says of the family: Transfer RNA (tRNA) molecules are approximately 80 nucleotides in length. Their secondary structure includes four short double-helical elements and three loops (D, anti-codon, and T loops). The record is from RNAcentral. RNAcentral also lists the same sequence under 2 other names. Lineage: Bacteria; Pseudomonadati; Pseudomonadota; Betaproteobacteria; Burkholderiales; Alcaligenaceae.
GCGGGUGUAGUUUAAUGGUAAAACUUGAGCUUCCCAAGCUUACGUCGUGGGUUCGAUUCCCAUCACCCGCUCCA